RNAcentral lists this ribosomal RNA (440 nucleotides) under uncultured bacterium. RNAcentral's name for it is "partial 16S ribosomal RNA". It matches the Rfam family "Bacterial small subunit ribosomal RNA", at positions 338 to 795 of the family's 1533-position model. The record is from RNAcentral.
CCUACGGGUGGCUGCAGUGGGGGAUAUUGCACAAUGGGGGGAACCCUGAUGCAGCGACGCCGCGUGGGUGAAGGAGCGUUUCGGCGCGUAAAGCCCUAUCGGCAGGGAAGAAGAUGACGGGACCUGACCAAGAAGACCCGGCUAACUACGUGCCAGCAGCCGCGGUAAGACGGAGGGGGCAAGCGUUAUCCGGAUUUACUGGGUGUAAAGGGUGGGCAGCCGGCACUGCAAGCCAGGAGUUAAAGCUCGGGGCCCAACCCCUGGACUGCUCUUGGAACUGCAUGGCGGGAGUACAGGAUGGGCAGGCGGAAUUCCUAGUGUAGCGGGUACAUGCGUAGAUAUUAGGAGGAACACCGGUGGCGAAGGCGGCCUGCUGGACUGUGACUGACGUUGAGGCCCGAAGGCGUGGGGAGCAAACAGGAUUAGAUACCCCGGUAGUC